CCUACGGGAGGCAGCAGUGGGGAAUAUUGCGCAAUGGGCGAAAGCCUGACGCAGCGACGCCGCGUGAGGGAUGAAGGUCUUCGGAUCGUAAACCUCUGUCAGCAGGGAAGAACGGUCACUGUGCUAAUCAGCAGUGAAUUGACGGUACCUGCAAAGGAAGCACCGGCUAACUCCGUGCCAGCAGCCGCGGUAAUACGGAGGGUGCGAGCGUUAAUCGGAAUUACUGGGCGUAAAGCGCUCGUAGGCGGUAUGUCAAGUCAAGGGUGAAAUCCCCGCGCUCAACGUGGGAACUGCCUUUGAAACGGGCAAACUGGAGUGUGUGAGAGGAUAGUGGAAUUCCAGGUGUAGGAGUGAAAUGCGUAGAUAUCUGGAGGAACAUCAGUGGCGAAGGCGACUAUCUGGCACAUAACUGACGCUGAGGAGCGAAAGCGUGGGUAGCAAACAGGAUUAGAUACCCGAGUAGUC
This 465-nucleotide ribosomal RNA is filed under the name uncultured bacterium. RNAcentral's name for it is "partial 16S ribosomal RNA". It matches the Rfam family "Bacterial small subunit ribosomal RNA", at positions 338 to 795 of the family's 1533-position model. The record is from RNAcentral.